Molecule: long non-coding RNA, 1280 nt
Organism: Cucumis melo (muskmelon)
Lineage: Eukaryota; Viridiplantae; Streptophyta; Magnoliopsida; Cucurbitales; Cucurbitaceae
Exons: 2
Source: RefSeq, a predicted model, not a curated record
UAUUUUUUUUUUAGGUUUUGCCCAUGUUACUCUUUCCGGCCCCCAAAUGCCCAUUUUUCAUUUUUUCAGACUCUCGAUGAGAUCUCUCCCUCAAUUCGAUCCUCAUAUCACACAUUCACUCUUCGAUUUCAUUCAUUCACACCCAUUCACUCUCAUCUCGCUAUAGGUCUCAAAAAUUUCUUCAAUUUUGUUCACACCCAAGGUUAGAAAAAUUCCUCCCUUGGUUUUCGUUCAAACUAAAGUCUCCAGCCUCUCUUGCUUUCGUUAUAAUCUCGCUUGCUGGUUUUCAUUCGCGUUGAAGCCUUCCCCUCAUGAUUUGAGGUUCUAGAAAAGGAAUUGAAUUUUGAUCCUCCUUUGUUGGCCAAUAAGUGGCUUGGGCUAAUAAUUAGGGGAUGCAAUCUCCUGGUUCUUUAGCCUUUUGGGGCAUAUUAGUGAUUUAUGUGGAAAGGGGAUGAAUUCUGGUAUGAUAAUAGACCAAUUCAAUCAAGGGAUGAGAAUCGAAUAAAGGGUAAAUUAAUUCUUCUUUCUUAGCUCCCAGCAGGGGAUAAGAGAGGGGAAUAAGCAAGCCUUCAGUUGAAUACUGGUCUUUUUCAUGAGAGGAAAAGCCCCAGCCAAGUCACGUCACAGAGGAUCGGAGGAAGUAGGUGCCUUACCUAAAUUUGAAUCUGACAUUUGAGAGGCUUGACGAGUAUCAGUCCCUGUUCUCGCUGAGUCGGUUGUUCAUGAAUCAAGCAUAAUGGCAUGCUUCACUCUUACUCUUGGUUGUUUUUCCAUAUCUAUUGAUUCAUAUAAGUGUUGAUUUGUGCGUUUUACUCUUCCUUUCAUCAUUUCUGAUGGUGUCUCUAAAAUCCAACACUUGUUUUCAUAUCUCUGAAAGUUUGAGCAUAUCGAUUCAAGCAUAUGAAGCUCAAACAUUCUGAUUGUUAGUUCCAGUACCAAUCUAUCUUGCCAUUGCUAUUAUGUUUUUUAUGUACUAGUUUGCCAGAUCUGAACGUGUCAUGUGCUGAAGACCGAAGUGCAACAACAUACAUUUUUCUUCUUCCAUUUCGUUCAUUUUCAUUUUAACUCGAGUGUGUUAUCAAAUAGGGUGUCUCAUCAUAUUUUCUCCAUUUGUCUUUUCAUAAAAUACAAUCGUCAUAAGAGUUGAAAAUCUUGUGAUAAGAGAUAACAAUGGGUGAUUUCUUAUUUUGUUACUUGUGUAUGUCAAAGUAUGUAUAAAUUGGACAUGUUAGAUAUCAUACUAUUUAAUGAUAUGGUGACAUGUGGUAUUCAUGAUUGAA